AUUGAACGCUGGCGGCAGGCCUAACACAUGCAAGUCGAGCGGAUGAAGGGAGCUUGCUCCUGGAUUCAGCGGCGGACGGGUGAGUAAUGCCUAGGAAUCUGCCUGGUAGUGGGGGAUAACGUCCGGAAACGGGCGCUAAUACCGCAUACGUCCUGAGGGAGAAAGUGGGGGAUCUUCGGACCUCACGCUAUCAGAUGAGCCUAGGUCGGAUUAGCUAGUUGGUGGGGUAAAGGCCUACCAAGGCGACGAUCCGUAACUGGUCUGAGAGGAUGAUCAGUCACACGGGAAGGGAGACACGGCCGAGACCCCGGGGGGGGGAGGAGGGGGGGAUUGUGGCAGAAGGGGGGAAGGCUUGACCGAGCGAGGCGGGGUGUGGGAAGAGGGUCUUGGGAUUGAAAAGUAUUUAAAGGGGGGGGAAAGGAAAAAAAUUAAUUCCUUGCUUUUUUUGAGUUUAACAAAAAAAAAACCCCGGGCUACUUUGGGG
Molecule: ribosomal RNA, 484 nt
Filed under: uncultured bacterium
Lineage: Bacteria
Description: partial 16S ribosomal RNA
Rfam family: Bacterial small subunit ribosomal RNA
Source: RNAcentral